GAACCUUUGGCGCAGUGGUAGCGCGUGUGAUUCCAGCGGCUAGGGCGGUGCGCCCGCUCGCCUCAGAGGAGCAUCCACAAGGUCGUCCGUUCAAUCCGGGCAAGGUUCA
Molecule: non-coding RNA, 109 nt
Organism: Pleurotus ostreatus (oyster mushroom)
Lineage: Eukaryota; Fungi; Basidiomycota; Agaricomycetes; Agaricales; Pleurotaceae
Source: the annotation of a RefSeq genome assembly